CAGCAGCCACGGUAAUACGGAGGAUCCAAGCGUUAUCCGGAAUCAUUGGGUUUAAAGGGUCCGUAGGCGGUCUUGUAAGUCAGUGGUGAAAGCCCAUCGCUCAACGGUGGAACGGCCAUUGAUACUGCAGGACUUGAAUUAUUGGGAAGUAACUAGAAUAUGUAGUGUAGCGGUGAAAUGCUUAGAGAUUACAUGGAAUACCAAUUGCGAAGGCAGGUUACUACCAAUUGAUUGACGCUGAUGGACGAAAGCGUGGGUAGCGAACAGGAUUAGAUACCCGCGUAGUCCCUGUCUCUUAUAC
This 301-nucleotide ribosomal RNA is filed under the name uncultured bacterium. RNAcentral describes it as "partial 16S ribosomal RNA". It matches the Rfam family "Bacterial small subunit ribosomal RNA", at positions 509 to 807 of the family's 1533-position model. The record is from RNAcentral.